RNAcentral lists this long non-coding RNA (852 nucleotides) under Capsicum annuum. Its description in RNAcentral is "long non-coding RNA (CANN_LNC020874)". The record is from RNAcentral. Lineage: Eukaryota; Viridiplantae; Streptophyta; Magnoliopsida; Solanales; Solanaceae.
UAUAGCAAAAUAUCUAGUAAAAAAUGAAGAAAUAAAAACUGACAAUGAUAUAUGCCCAGAUCUACCAAGAAGUUUAAUAAAUAAUAAAAAUAUAGCAGAAAAAGAAAUAAUGUUAGGAGUUAGAAAAAUAAAAAUAGAAUUCGAAGUAAAGGAAGAAAUGCAAAAAGCAGAUAUAAUAUUAGGAAUAAAAUGGUUAGAACAAGUAAAACCAUAUAAUAUAGAACAUACACAAUUAACCUUAACAUAUAACCAAGAAAAGUUAUUCUUAAAAAGAGCCUUAACAUGAAAUGAAGAUACAUGUAUUAAUGAAGAUAGUAGUAGAAGGAUAUUACAGUAGAUAUUAUACGCCUAUGAUAGAUACAGGAGCAGAAGCUAAUUUAUGUAGAUAUAAUUGCUUACCAGAAAGCAAAUGGGAUAAACUAAAAACACCAAUAAUAGUUAAAGGAUUUAAUAAUGAAGGAAGCUUAAUUACUUAUAAAGCUAGGAAUGUAAAAAUACAAGUAUGGGAUAAGAUAUUAACAAUAGAAGAAAUUUAUAAUUAUGAAUUAACAUCAAAAGAUAUACUUUUAGGAAGAUAAUGAUAUGUGCCCAGAUCUACCAAGAAGUUUAAUAAAUAAUAAAAAUAUAGCAGAAAAAGAAAUAAUAAUAGGAGUUAGGAAAAUAAAAAUAGAAUUCGAAGUAAAGAAAGAAAUGCAAAAAGCAGAUAUAAUAUUAGGAAUAAAAUGGUUAGAACAAGUAAAACCAUAUAAUAUAGAACAUACACAAUUAACCUUAACAUAUAACAAAGAAAAGUUAUUCUUAAAAAGAGCCUUAACAUGAAAUGAAGAUAUAUGUAUUAAUGAAGAUAGUAGU